GUUUGAGGAGCAGAGGACAAACUUGGUGUGAUGAGCAGAAGAAGAAGGAGGGAUGCCUGACACUCAUUUUACUCUCCUCCAUAAUCACUAUAACCACAUCUGUGGUGUGUAGAGAGCUGGACUGUGGAGAACCUGUAGAUGCUCUGAGUCGGUUUGGACCAGGAUCAGGACCAGUCUGGAUGGAUAAUGUGGCCUGUAGUGGGUCGGAGUCUACACUAAAGGACUGUAGAUCAAGAGGAUG
Sinocyclocheilus rhinocerous is the source of this 241-nucleotide long non-coding RNA. RefSeq lists it as uncharacterized. Lineage: Eukaryota; Metazoa; Chordata; Actinopteri; Cypriniformes; Cyprinidae. The transcript has 2 exons. The record is from RefSeq and is a predicted model, not a curated record.